AUAAAGAUGGCAGAUAAAGUGCAUUAAGUUUAAGCCUUAAAUAUAAAGAUGAAACUUCUUUUCUUUAUA
Molecule: transfer RNA, 69 nt
Filed under: Neptuneopsis gilchristi
Lineage: Eukaryota; Metazoa; Mollusca; Gastropoda; Neogastropoda; Volutidae
Description: tRNA-Leu
Source: RNAcentral